Molecule: ribosomal RNA, 504 nt
Filed under: uncultured organism
Description: bacterial SSU rRNA
Rfam family: Bacterial small subunit ribosomal RNA
Source: RNAcentral
AGUGAACGCUGGCGGCAGGCCUAACACAUGCAAGUCGAACGGCAGCACAGAGGAGCUUGCUCCUUGGGUGGCGAGUGGCGGACGGGUGAGGAAUGCAUCGGAAUCUGCCUUGUUGUGGGGGAUAACCUCGGGAAACCGGGACUAAUACCGCAUGAGACCCCUGACCGAGAGGUGAGGGGUGAAAGAGGGGGACCGCAAGGCCUCUCGCGACAAGAUGAGCCGAUGCCGGAUUAGCUAGUUGGUGGGGUAAAGGCCUACCAAGGCGACGAUCCGUAGCUGGUCUGAGAGGAUGAUCAGCCACACUGGAACUGAGACACGGUCCAGACUCCUACGGGAGGCAGCAGUGGGGAAUAUUGGACAAUGGGCGAAAGCCUGAUCCAGCCAUGCCGCGUGUGUGAAGAAGGCCUUCGGGUUGUAAAGCACUUUUGUUGGGGAAGAAACCGACCGGGUUAAUAACCGGGUUGACUGACGGUACCCAAAGAAUAAGCACCGGCUAACUUCGUG